AGGGAUCGAAGAGAUCCAUUCUUGGGAAAUUCUGGCAAGGAACCAUGAAGUUCCGGAUUAAGGGAAAGGUCAAGAGUUUGUAGAGUAGGUACCUGAAAGAUCUGCUUCGGAAAUGUUCCACGUAACCCACAAUCACGUAGACUCAAGGUAGUCAACUUUGAAAACUUGGCAAAGAACCCUGGAACCGGAGCAGAGAUAUUGUUUCCGUCCAAUUUCAACACCGUUAGGUUUGAAAAGUUGGAAAAGAAUUCUGGAAUUGGACCGGAGAUAUUGUUUCUGUCCAAGUUCAACACCGUCAGGUUUGAAAAGUUGGAAAAGAAUUCUAGAAUCGGACCGGAGAUGUGUUGGCUGCUAAUGUCAAGACCAACAACACGCCCGUUGCUACUGCAAGUAACACCGAGCCAAGAACAACAGUCUGUACUUGAAUCCCACGAUACAAACUUGGAAGAAACCGGAGAAUAUCCGAUUGAGAGGUUUUUCUUCAAAUGGAGCAAUGACAGUUGCUGGUCUUUGAGACACUGGCUGUAGACUCCAGUUGUGACAUUAUGACAGAUAGUGAAGAACAACAGGAGGACAAAAGAUUGUAAAGUUUUCAUUUUUGCUAGCAGAGUAAGGAAAGCGUAUGAUGAACAACUGAGGGAUUGGUGUGGUGGCUUUAAAUUAUUUUUCGUCGCUGCAGAUUUGGCUUCAAGUCUUGGUCUAUUUCUUCUUUUUACUUUAAUCCCACUUUUUAUCCCGUUGAAGCCUUGGUCUUGGUCUAUUUCUUCUUUAUACUGUGAUUAGCGAAUGCGACUGCACAAACUUUUUAUCCCGUUGAAGCCUUGGUCUUGGUCUAUUUCUUCUUUAUACUGUGAUUAGUGAAUGCGACUGCACACACUUUUUAUCCCUUUAUCUAUUUCUUCUUUUUUGACUUGCAGAUUUUGAAGUCUUGGUGUUGGAACCCUCAGUCCCACAUCGGACAGAGGGAGAAGAGAAGAGUGCUUUAAAUAGAAAUACCCCUCUCUAACUAACAUCGAUGUCUUUUGUGAGAAAACCCCACACCUGAGGAUUGUGCAGGUGGUUAAGUGGGGACAGUAUCGGUGUUGUUAGAGUGGGCCCUCGGCCCGUCGACCUGAAAAUUUCCACAUGGUAUCAGAGCCAGGAGGCGGGCCCGUACUGCCACGUGAUUGGGUGGGUCCCCUUUGGCCCCGCGCGAUUGUCCACGUAGGCCAAAGAUGCCACGUGUUUGGGUGGGUCCCCAUUGGCCCCGCGUGAUUGGGUGAGUCCCGACAUGGCUCCACGUGGUUGCCGAUGUGUGGAAAUUCACGUGUGACCCAUAAGUGGGGUCUCACGUGCGGGGGAGUGUUGGAACCCCCAGUCCCACAUCGGACAGAGGGAGAAGAGAAGAGUGCUUUAAAUAUAACUAACAUCGAAGCCUUUUACCUGAGGAUUGUGCAGGUGGUUAAAUGGGAACAGCGUGAUUGGGUGAGUCCCGACAUGGCUUCACGUGGUUGCCGAUGUGUGGAAAUUCACGUGUGACCCAUAAGUGGGGUCUCACGUGCGGGGGAGUGUUGGAACCCCCAGUCCCACAUCGGACAGAGGGAGAAGAGAAGAGUGCUUUAAAUAUAACUAACAUCGAAGCCUUUUACCUGAGGAUUGUGCAGGUGGUUAAAUGGGAACAGUAUCGGUGUUGUUAGAGUGGACCCUCGGCCCGUCGACCUGAAAAUUUCCACACUUGGUCUUUUUCUUUUUCUUUUAACUGUAACCAGUAAUAUUAAAACAUUGCAGAGAUGAAUUAGACAAUGAUGUGCCUUUAAUAUCGUGGAUAAAUCUUCCACGGGAUAAUUUUUGUUGGCUUGACUUGCUUCCUUUGAAGUCUUUCCCCCAUCUUUCCGAUGGAGUAGGUGUGAACUGAGAUAGGUGUAGGGCCGGGGAAUACAGUGUUAGGUAGGUAAGUUGCUUCUACGGUUUGGCAGGACUACAGUAGGAGAGAGAUUCUAUCUUACAAACAGUUUACAUGGCGAGAGAGAUAGAAAGAAGAUUAUAUCAAAAUUGUAGGAACGAGGGAUUUCCAUAUGAUACCUACUACGAUCGUUUCAAUCAUUGAUAAUAAGGAAAACUUAUGAAAAUGACUUGAAAACUUUGAGUUUUAAUGAUAAGGACAAAAUAAAGGGUAAAGUGAAUAGUACCAGGAUUGACUUUUUAGUGUAAAAAUGUGGUUUUUCGUUAAAGUGAACAAUAUCGGGAGCUUUUCGGUAAAGUUCCCUUGAUAAUAUUGGGUCACCCAAAGUUUCUGAAGUUGAAGUUGAAAUAGCGUUGCCACUACAACGCAUUCGUCGACAGCAGGUGUAAAGAAUUCAAUGUAGUUUUGGGUUAGGUCAUACUAGAAAAUGUGCCCGCGCUUCGCUGCGGGGAUUGAAUAUAUUAGUUGGAACAGGAAUGAAUAGUUUCUACAUAAGAGUAACAAAAUUUACGGUACAGUACCCAAGAACCAAUAAAAGAAACAUUCAUUUGCAGGUCGUAUUGUGCCAAUAAUAUCAUACUCAUAGUUUCAAGUAAUCAGACCAUUCCAUGCAGGGAAAAACAAAGAAAAAGGUGUACUAAUUUAACAGUCAUCAUUUGGCAUAAAUUUUUAGUUUUUACAGAAGCUGAAAGAAACUGUGGAGGAGCUGUCUUUUCAUAUCUUUCUCAAUCAAAGCAAAUUGAGCGAUAAACAGAACUUGACCAGUGCACGAAAAACAGAGCAAACAUUUAAAAUCAAAGACUGUACAAACACACAAAAGAAAAGAGAUAAUUUUCUCACAAACAAAAGCCAAAACAAGGGAGAACAAACAAAAGAAGCAUACAACAAUAACAAAGCAUUUUCCUACUAAAUAGGGUCGGCUAUAUGAAUCCUAGAACGUCAUUACGGUCGAUUCUAGGAUAUAAGAUAUAAUGCAUCACAAAUUCAAACAACAUAACCCCUUUUCCUUGCUCAUGUGUUUUGAGUGUCCAUCCUAGAAAGGUGUUAAAAUGGAAUUCAAAAUGCGUGCAUAAGGCAUUGGUUAGUAGGCUUGUUCUUUUCGUUUUUUAAGAAACCUCGACAGUACAAGGAAAAUUUAUUAACCAUAAUGCAGAAAGAUACAAAAUAACUUCCAAACCUAAUUACAACACAAGCUAUAAAUCAAAAUGCGAAACCAUAUUUUAUUUGUUGCAUCUUACCCUAGGCACAACAUGGAGUCCAGCUACUUGCUCCUCAUAAACAUUUCAACGUCUCCACCUCUUAUUUAUGUGAAUAUGUCUUCGAUGAGGACCAAUUCUUUCUUCAAGCUGAGGGAAUAUCCUCACAAGGAUUUUAUACAUAGACCUAUAAUACCAUUUACUCCAUCUCUUGAAGAACACAAGUGACCCAACGGCAACUGCAAAGCCAAAUACAAAUCCAAUUUCGACACUAAUAAGAUCCCAAUCAAUCUCAUCUGUAGAAUAUGGAUGGCUUCCAUUUGAUGUUUGUGGUGGUGACAGUCCUGCUUUAUUAUCCAUCGUCAGCGGAGGCCCCCAUAAUCCUUUGUUCCCUGUAAAUGAGUCUCUUGGAAAUGUUGAAAUUUGAGUACCAGCUGGGAUCUUGCCGACAAGUUGAUUAUUCGAGAGAUUCAGAACUGCAAGGAAAUUAAGCUUUGCCAGUUGUUCUGGGAUUUGCCCGCUCAGCUUGUUCUGUGACAGGUCCAAGGACUCGAGUUGUCGCAUGUUACCAAAUGACGAUGGGAUUUCACCUGUGAAAGCGUUACUUGACAAGUUGAGAAAAUAUAAAGAUUUCAAAUCUCCCAUUUCCUUGGGUAUUGGCCCACUGAAAUUGUUGCAUGAGAAGUCAAUCAAAGUCAAGAUGGUAAGAAUCUUUGCCAGAUCACACUUUAACCUUUGCUUGUAAUCGUCAUAGCAGGCUCAUAAGAAAUAGUAGGCUGAUAAGAAAUUACUACAACCGCUUUGUUAAAAGGGGAUGUAACAAACCCAUAAGAAUAUUCCCUUCUUUUAUAAGGGUUUCUAGAAACAUUGACUGUCGACGGGAAACCAAUAUCUGUGUUAUCCUUCAUUGCUUGCCAUGUUGUCAGAGAGAAUCCUGGUACUUCACCAUUGAAAUUAUUGUAAGCUAAGUCUACGAUUUGAAGAACCGGCCAAGCGGCAUGGGUCUUCACUACUGGACAUCCAAUGCCUCCAUAGAAAUUGUUGGACCUCAAAGCAAGAACCAUCAAGGUGGAGAUAUUCUUCAACAAGCAUGGGAAGGUGUCUGUUAUAUGAUUCUCUGCAAGGUUUAAAAAUAUUAAACUUGUGCACCUGGCUAGAGACUUUGGAAAUUGACCUUCAAUCUGAUUUUGGCUGAGGUCUAGAGCUUCUAAUGACUCAGGAAAUUCAAGAUUAGAAAUCAUUCCAGUAAUGUUGUUUUUCCUGACAUUAAGUAUCAUGAGUGUGCUCAUUGCAGCCAAGCACUGGGGAAUCUCACCACUCAGAGAAUUACUGGACAAAUCAAGAGUGCGAAGACCACUUGCGUUGCAUAUUGAUACUGGAAUACUAGAACUGAAAUGAUUGUUUGAGUAACCCAGAUAUUCGGCAUGUGGUGGGACAAUUGAAAUUGGCCCCUUAAGCUGGUUUGAAUGAAGGUCAAGCUCAGACACAUGAGAUGUGGAGUUGAUGAAAGGACCUUCGAGACUUUCCAAGGCAUUAUUAGAAACAUUUAGGUAAUCAAGAGAAUCGAGCUUCCAUAUCCAAUUGGGUAGCUGGCCUUGAAUUUGGUUGUUCGAAAGGUCCAACUCUGUUAAAUAGGUUUGAUUUCUCAAGAAAACUGGGAAUGUUCUCAACUUGUUAGAAACUAAAUUGAAAUAAACAAUUUGAGGAAAUGAAGAGUAUGAGGAAUUGCUGCCAUUGUAUAAAACCAGCAAGCUAUUGUGCGAAAGAUCAAUCUCCGCCAGAUUUGGCAGCUGAUGAGGACCAUUAAAAGGAAAGGCACUGAAAUUGUUUGAAGAAAGAGUGAGGGUUUCAAGCCCUCGAAAAUUAAAGAUAGACACGGGUACUGGUCCUUCCAAAUUAUUGAAACUCAAAUCAAUUAAAGCAACUAAACUGGAAGAGACGUUAAAAAUUUCAAGGAGUUGCCCGGAGAAAUUAUUAUUGGAAAGUACUAAGUACGGCAACAAGGGAAGAGAAAACAGAGACGACGGAAUGCUCCCCACCAGUUGAUUGUCGUACAAACAGAGAUUUACCAGAUUAAUAAGGUUUUCCCAGUGAAUAGAACUAAUUGGACCAUUAAACAUGUUUGAUGACAGGAGUAAAUUAACCAAUUUCGUUAGGUUUCCGAUUGACUUUGGGAUUGAUCCAGUGAAAUUGCAUCCGGAAAGGUCUAGUGUUGACAACAUGUUGAGGUUGCCAAUAGAGUCGUGCAAUAACCCUGAAAAGCUUGUCCCGCUUAAAAUCAAGGAUCGAAGAGAUCCAUUCUUGGGAAAUUCUGGCAAGGAACCAUGAAGUUCCGUAUUAGAGGAAAGGUCAAGAGUUUGUAGAGUAGGUACCUGAAAGAUCUGCUUCGGAAAUGUUCCACGUAACCCACAGUCACGUAGACUCAAGGUAGUCAACUUUGAAAAAUUGGCAAAGAAUCCUGGAACCGGAGCAGAGAUAUUGUUUUCGUCCAAGUUCAACACUGUCAGGUUUGA
Molecule: long non-coding RNA, 5651 nt
Filed under: Malus domestica (apple)
Lineage: Eukaryota; Viridiplantae; Streptophyta; Magnoliopsida; Rosales; Rosaceae
Description: long non-coding RNA (MDOM_LNC004032)
Source: RNAcentral